RNAcentral lists this ribosomal RNA (541 nucleotides) under uncultured Gallionellaceae bacterium. RNAcentral describes it as "bacterial SSU rRNA". It matches the Rfam family "Bacterial small subunit ribosomal RNA", at positions 135 to 671 of the family's 1533-position model. The record is from RNAcentral. Lineage: Bacteria; Pseudomonadati; Pseudomonadota; Betaproteobacteria; Nitrosomonadales; Gallionellaceae.
AGUGGGGGAUAACGUAGCGAAAGUUACGCUAAUACCGCAUAUGCCCUGAGGGGGAAAGGAGGGGAUCGCAAGACCUUUCGCUUUCGGAGUGGCCGAUAUCAGAUUAGCUAGUUGGUGGGGUAAAGGCCCACCAAGGCGACGAUCUGUAGCGGGUCUGAGAGGAUGAUCCGCCACACUGGGACUGAGACACGGCCCAGACUCCUACGGGAGGCAGCAGUGGGGAAUUUUGGACAAUGGGGGCAACCCUGAUCCAGCCAUGCCGCGUGAGUGAAGAAGGCCUUCGGGUUGUAAAGCUCUUUCAGCCGGAAAGAAAUCGCACCGAUUAAUACUCGGUGUGGAUGACGGUACCGGAAGAAGAAGCACCGGCUAACUACGUGCCAGCAGCCGCGGUAAUACGUAGGGUGCGAGCGUUAAUCGGAAUUACUGGGCGUAAAGCGUGCGCAGGCGGUUUUGUAAGACAGGUGUGAAAUCCCCGGGCUUAACCUGGGAACUGCAUUUGUGACUGCAAGGCUAGAGUGUGGCAGAGGGGGGUAGAAUUCCG